Acanthosepion pharaonis is the source of this 113-nucleotide non-coding RNA. The record is from the annotation of a GenBank genome assembly. Lineage: Eukaryota; Metazoa; Mollusca; Cephalopoda; Sepiida; Sepiidae.
UUACGGCCAUAUCUCAUUAAAACACCAGUUCUUAUACAAUUACAGAAGUUAAGCAAGUUCAAGCCUGGUUAGUACCUAGAUGGGUGACCGCUUGAAAAUACCAGGUGCUGUAA